CCUACGGGGCGCAGCAGUGGGGAAUAUUGGACAAUGGGCGAAAGCCUGAUUCAGCAAUGCCGCGUGUGUGAAGAAGGUCUUCGGAUUGUAAAGCACUCUCGACGGGGACGAUGAUGACGGUACCCGUAGAAGAAGCCCCGGCUAACUUCGUGCCAGCAGCCGCGGUAGUACGAAGGGGGCUAGCGUUGCCCGGAAUGACUGGGCGUAAAGGGCGCGUAGGCGGUUUAUGCAGUCAGAUGUGAAAUCUCCGGGCUUAACCUGGGAACUGCAUUUGAGACGCAUAGACUAGAGGUCGAGAGAGGGUUGUGGAAUUCCCAGUGUAGAGGUGAAAUUCGUAGAUAUUGGGAAGAACACCGGUGGCGAAGGCGGCAACCUGGCUCGAUACUGACGCUGAGGCGCGAAAGCGUGGGGAGCAGACAGGAUUAGAUACCCUUGUAGUC
RNAcentral lists this ribosomal RNA (440 nucleotides) under uncultured bacterium. Its description in RNAcentral is "bacterial SSU rRNA". It matches the Rfam family "Bacterial small subunit ribosomal RNA", at positions 338 to 795 of the family's 1533-position model. The record is from RNAcentral.